CCUACGGGUGGCAGCAGUGAGGAAUAUUGGUCAAUGGGCGGAAGCCUGAACCAGCCAAGUAGCGUGCGGGAUGAAGGCCCUCCGGGUCGUAAACCGCUUUUGCACGGGGAUAACACCCUCCCAUUGUGGAGGUCUGCAGGUACCGUGCGACUAAGGGCCGGCUAAUUCCGGUCCAGCAGCCGCGGUAAUACGGAGGGCACGAGCGUUAUCCGGAUUCAUUGGGCUUAAAGGGAGCGUAGGCGGGCGUUCAAGUCAGCUGCAAAAUCGCGCGGCUCAACCGCGCCCCGCAGUUGAAACUGGACGCCUUGAGUUCACGACAGGCAGGCGGAAUUCGUGGUGUAGCGGUGAAAUGCAUAGAUAUCACGAGGAACCCCGAUUGCGAAGGCAGCCGGCCGGGGUGCGACUGACGCUGAGGCUCGAAGGUGCGGGUAUCAAACAGGAUUAGAUACCCGUGUAGUC
RNAcentral lists this ribosomal RNA (459 nucleotides) under uncultured bacterium. RNAcentral describes it as "partial 16S ribosomal RNA". It matches the Rfam family "Bacterial small subunit ribosomal RNA", at positions 338 to 795 of the family's 1533-position model. The record is from RNAcentral.